GACGAACGCUGGCGGCGUGCUUAACACAUGCAAGUCGAACGGAAAGGCCCUGCUUUUGUGGGGUGCUCGAGUGGCGAACGGGUGAGUCACACGUGAGUAACCUGCCCUUGACUUUGUGAUAACUUCAGGAAACUGGGGCUACUACCGGAUAGGAUCUCCUGCUGCAUGGUGGGGGUUGGAAAUUUUCGGCGGUUGGGGAUGGACUCGCGGCUUAUCAGCUUGUUGGGGGGGUAGUGGCUUACCAAGGCUUUGACGGGUAGCCGGCCUGAGAGGGGGACCGGACACAUUGGGACUGAGAUACGGCCCAGACUCCGACGGGAGGCAGCAGUGGGGAGGAUUGUACAAUGGGCGGGAGCCUGAUGCAGCAACGCCGCGUGCGGGAUGACGGCCUUCGGUUUGUAAACCGCUUUCGCCUGUGACGAAGCGUGAGUGACGGUAAUGGGUGAAGAAGCACCGGCUAACUACGUG
This 468-nucleotide ribosomal RNA is filed under the name uncultured bacterium. RNAcentral describes it as "partial 16S ribosomal RNA". It matches the Rfam family "Bacterial small subunit ribosomal RNA", at positions 28 to 507 of the family's 1533-position model. The record is from RNAcentral.